CACAUGAACACGAAAGAGGUUAUCUUGAACAUGAUGUUAUCUAUUAAAGGAGCUUAUAUGAUGACAUAGAAUUGGCUACGUGUCAAUCUCUCAGCUAUGACAAGUUUGGUCAGAUAAUUUGGAAUGGGUCCAACUGGUAAUCAAUUAUGGAUUUGAAGCAACAUAUCAAAGGGAAGUUGUUGAAGUUGGAGGUUGAUCAUCGAAAUACAUCAAGUUAUCAAGAUAUGAUUGUACAGGUUUCAAACCAUAUUGUCAAUUAGAGUAUUUGAUUCAUUUAAGAUUGAUGUGAAACAAUUAUAUAAAGUUUAGUUGAUUUUAUGAUUGAAAUAGUGUGAUUGUAUUAAGAAUUAUAUAUACCUAAGUAACUUGGUGCGUUU
RNAcentral lists this long non-coding RNA (377 nucleotides) under Helianthus annuus (common sunflower). RNAcentral describes it as "hypothetical non coding rna". Lineage: Eukaryota; Viridiplantae; Streptophyta; Magnoliopsida; Asterales; Asteraceae. The record is from RNAcentral.